Cinara cedri is the source of this 298-nucleotide non-coding RNA. Lineage: Eukaryota; Metazoa; Arthropoda; Insecta; Hemiptera; Aphididae. The record is from the annotation of a GenBank genome assembly.
UCGAGUUUGGUAUGCUGAACAACAAAUCUUAUGUGUUGUUAUCAGCCACUUUUACCAGUAUAAGAGAACGCAACGAAAAGGGGCAAUGUUUUACUACCAAACUCAUAGGAAUACCCAUUUUCCUGAGGACAGGAACUUAGGCUUGAUAUCUCCUCAUUUAAUCGAUCCUCAAAUUCAUGAGUUUAAGGCUUUCCGAAACCACAUUUUUAAUAUGUUAACUGUCAAUGGCCACACGGAUUCACAAAUUCUUAAUCCAAUGAUUUUUAGGAAAAGAAUCCUGUCCCUUUCUUGCAACGAC